Molecule: ribosomal RNA, 484 nt
Filed under: uncultured bacterium
Lineage: Bacteria
Description: bacterial SSU rRNA
Rfam family: Bacterial small subunit ribosomal RNA
Source: RNAcentral
CUACGUGCCAGCAGCCGCGGUAAUACGUAUGUCACGAGCGUUAUCCGGAUUUAUUGGGCGUAAAGCGCGUCUAGGUGGUUAUGUAAGUCUGAUGUGAAAAUGCAGGGCUCAACUCUGUAUUGCGUUGGAAACUGUAUAACUAGAGUACUGGAGAGGUAAGCGGAACUACAAGUGUAGAGGUGAAAUUCGUAGAUAUUUGUAGGAAUGCCGAUGGGGAAGCCAGCUUACUGGACAGAUACUGACGCUGAAGCGCGAAAGCGUGGGUAGCAAACAGGAUUAGAUACCCUGGUAGUCCACGCCGUAAACGAUGAUUACUAGGUGUUGGGGGUCGAACCUCAGCGCCCAAGCAAACGCGAUAAGUAAUCCGCCUGGGGAGUACGUACGCAAGUAUGAAACUCAAAGGAAUUGACGGGGACCCGCACAAGCGGUGGAGCAUGUGGUUUAAUUCGACGCAACGCGAGGAACCUUACCAGCGUUUGACAUC